Molecule: ribosomal RNA, 578 nt
Filed under: uncultured bacterium
Lineage: Bacteria
Description: bacterial SSU rRNA
Rfam family: Bacterial small subunit ribosomal RNA
Source: RNAcentral
CCUACGGGAGGCAGCAGUGAGGAAUAUUGGUCAAUGGACGCAAGUCUGAACCAGCCAUGCCGCGUGCAGGAUGACGGCCCUACGGGUUGUAAACUGCUUUUAUACGGGAAUAAUGUGUCCUACGUGUAGGAUUUUGAAGGUACCGUACGAAUAAGGAUCGGCUAACUCCGUGCCAGCAGCCGCGGUAAUACGGAGGAUCCAAGCGUUAUCCGGAUUCAUUGGGUUUAAAGGGUCCGUAGGCGGGUCUUUAAGUCAGAGGUGAAAGCCUGCAGCUCAACUGUGGAACUGCCUUUGAUACUGGAGAUCUUGAGUGUGCGUGAAGUAGGCGGAAUAAGUCAUGUAGCGGUGAAAUGCAUAGAUAUGACUUAGAACACCGAUUGCGAAGGCAGCUUACUAAAGCACUACUGACGCUGAGGGACGAAAGCGUGGGGAGCGAACAGGAUUAGAUACCCUGGUAGUCCACGCCGUAAACGAUGAUAACUCGCUGUUGGCGAUACACGGUCAGCGGCCAAGCGAAAGCGUUAAGUUAUCCACCUGGGGAGUACGCCGGCAACGGUGAAACUCAAAGGAAUUGACGG